Molecule: ribosomal RNA, 551 nt
Filed under: uncultured bacterium
Lineage: Bacteria
Description: partial 16S ribosomal RNA
Rfam family: Bacterial small subunit ribosomal RNA
Source: RNAcentral
UGGGGAAUUUUGGACAAUGGGCGAAAGCCUGAUCCAGCAAUGCCGCGUGUGUGAAGAAGGCCUUCGGGUUGUAAAGCACUUUUGUCCGGAAAGAAAUCCUUGGCUCUAAUACAGUCGGGGGAUGACGGUACCGGAAGAAUAAGCACCGGCUAACUACGUGCCAGCAGCCGCGGUAAUACGUAGGGUGCAAGCGUUAAUCGGAAUUACUGGGCGUAAAGCGUGCGCAGGCGGUUUGCUAAGACCGAUGUGAAAUCCCCGGGCUCAACCUGGGAACUGCAUUGGUGACUGGCAGGCUAGAGUAUGGCAGAGGGGGGUAGAAUUCCACGUGUAGCAGUGAAAUGCGUAGAGAUGUGGAGGAAUACCGAUGGCGAAGGCAGCCCCUGGGCCAAUACUGACGCUCAUGCACGAAAGCGUGGGGAGCAAACAGGAUUAGAUACCCUGGUAGUCCACGCCCUAAACGAUGUCAACUAGUUGUUGGGAUUCAUUCCUUAGUAACGUAGCUAACGCGUGAAGUUGACCGCCUGGGGAGUACGGUCGCAAGAUUAAAACUC